RNAcentral lists this ribosomal RNA (429 nucleotides) under Bacteroidota bacterium. Its description in RNAcentral is "Bacteroidetes bacterium partial 16S ribosomal RNA". It matches the Rfam family "Bacterial small subunit ribosomal RNA", at positions 355 to 776 of the family's 1533-position model. Lineage: Bacteria; Pseudomonadati; Bacteroidota. The record is from RNAcentral.
UAGGGAAUCUUCGGCAAUGGGGGGAACCCUGACCGAGCAACGCCGCGUGAGUGAAGAAGGUUUUCGGAUCGUAAAGCUCUGUUGUUAAGGAAGAACGAGUGUGAGAAUGGAAAGUUCAUACUGUGACGGUACUUAACCAGAAAGGGACGGCUAACUACGUGCCAGCAGCCGCGGUAAUACGUAGGUCCCGAGCGUUGUCCGGAUUUAUUGGGCGUAAAGCGAGCGCAGGCGGUUAGAUAAGUCUGAAGUUAAAGGCAGUGGCUCAACCAUUGUAGGCUUUGGAAAAUGUUUAACUUGAGUGCAGAAGGGGAGAGUGGAAUUCCAUGUGUAGCGGAGAAAUGCGUAGAUAUAUGGAGGAACACCGGUGGCGAAAGCGGCUCUCUGGUCUGUAACUGACGCUGAGGCUCGAAAGCGUGGGGAGCGAACAGG